Molecule: long non-coding RNA, 3971 nt
Filed under: Ananas comosus (pineapple)
Lineage: Eukaryota; Viridiplantae; Streptophyta; Magnoliopsida; Poales; Bromeliaceae
Description: long non-coding RNA (ACOM_LNC016569)
Source: RNAcentral
UUUUAUGCCAUCAUAUGCUUCCCAAAUUUGGAGGACCAACAAUCUAGGUAACGCCUGAAUGUAAGGGAGCGGAUCCUCAACCAAUCGAGACCAACGAAGAUGAAAGGCGGUCAGGUUUGUAAGGGACCCGAAGGACAUGGAACAUUGAGGUAAGGAAUAUUUUUUGUCUAACUGCCCCAACAACAUCACUUUUCGCAGAGAUCGUGGUAGACGAAGAGCUCCCAAAUGCAGUAUUUCUUGCUCGUCUUUCGCCACAAUCUGUAAAAGGACAAGAUGGUUCAUGUUUGCAAUAGCCCGGCACAGGUCUGUACAGUGGCACAUUUGUACUUUGGUGAUACCGAAUGUCCGCAAGUUGAUCAGGGCUCCCACCUUCUGUACCAUCUUUGUGUUGGCUUCAAAAAACUGCAGAGUUUGUAUGUCCUUCAAAUGCCAUAUCCCUUUUGGUGUUGGAACGCCACCAAAUGCUGCCAGACUGCGGUACAUCUUAUCUGAAUUGAUAAAUACAAAUAGAUGCCUCAACUUUCUGAGCUUUGUUACUCCAUUUGGUAAACUUUUGAUUUUAGUGUCACAGGCGUCUAAUAUCUGUAAAUUUUGCAGCUUCCCAAUUGAUUUUGGUAGCUUCUCGAUUUUUGUUUCUCUUAGGCCGGCCUAGGAAACGCAGGUUGAAUAGGUUGCCAAUUUCACUUGGUACUUUAUCGAUCGCAGAACCUUGUAGAUCCAAAACGUAUAAAUAUACAACCAUACAUAUAACUAAACAUAUCCUUGUAUGCAUUUUAUGAAUCUGUUACUGCUGGUACUUCGCUGUAUAACUAAACAUAUCCUUGUGUACUAUCUCAUGAUAUGUUAUAUACUGCCAAAAUGCUAAUAGACGAAUUUUAAUAUUAGUAUUACCCAAUGAAAUCCGAGUACUUUUACAAUUGUACUUAGACUAGAAACCAUCUGCUUAGUUUGGUAAUAGAAGGUCUUCCAUUUGACACGUACUAUUAUAAAAGAGCUGCUUUUGUUAAAAUGGAUUUGGCAUGGCCUAACCUACAGUAGUAGGAGCCAACAUUGAACCACAUCUAUCUUCUACAGGAAAAGGCAUUAACUUUUUACUCUUUUCUUUGUGAUGGUAGGUCCAACACUAGUCCUUGACCUGCCCGAUGCGGCUCAUAGUGUGCCGUUUCUGCGAAGACAUGGUCCAAGCCGGGACCGAACCGCUUGAUGCCUGCGACCGCCUCAGAGGUCUCUGAAGGAGAUGGACAUCCAUGUGAUCAUGUGCAUCAGAAGAGCUGAUUUGCUGAAGCAUUUCAUGCUUGUCAAAAUCAUCAUAUGAAUCGAAUGCUCGGUGAUGGAUGCCCUUGAAAGACUUAUAAACUUUUGAGCUAACUCACCAAAGAUUUCUCUCUUGGGUACUUUGAAAAAUGGUACGUAGUGUGUUUUAUCUCUCUCUUGGUUCAGCGUGUUGUUCCUCAUUUUAUUUAUGUUUCGAUGCAUUACAUGGUGAAAAGAAUAAUAGAAAAAAAAUUGUGUUGGAACAGACUCGAAUGGAAUUUGAUAUUUCGACUUGUUAUAUAUUCUAAAAUUGUACUGUACUAUAUGAAUUGGUCUCAGGUUAUUGAUAUAGAAUUUCAGAAUUUUGUGUUCUUGAUUUUAACAUAAAAUAGUAUAGUGUGAUUUUUUUAAUUGAUAUCAGUUGGAAUGGAAUGAAAAUGUUUGCUCAUACUUUUGGUUUUGAGCAAUACUGUUGGCGUUAUUCGCAACCCCUCCUCUCGGGUUGAGCAUCCGGAAGUGAAUUCGGAUGCCUGCGAGACAAUCCGAAAUAUUUUGGAUGCUCGCAGGAAGAACCGAGCUGUCCGAAGAUUUAACAACUUGAGAACCCCUCCUCUCGAGUAGAGAGUCUAUUAGGGACGGACGCUUGACCGAAUGGUCCGAAUGUUUUCGGGCGUCUCACAUGUCUUUUCGGACUUAUGGAAAGUCUGGAAAAAUUGAUUUUCACUUCUUCCAAAGUUCUGAUUUGAUCCAAAUUGGCUCCAACUCAUUGCUAACUUAGUCUAAACUUUUUCAGAUCCAUUCUUAUCAUGUCUAGCAUGACUUAAAUUCUCAUUUUGCCAAUUUUGUUAAAGCUCGGUGCAUUUUACUGAAUUUUAGUAUAGCGCUAAUUUAUAUAAAAAAGACGGGAAAAACGUUAAAAGAGCACUUCUAUGGCCCUUUGUCGAGCAUUUUUUAGUUUCUAUGGCAUUUUUUACUAGGGAUCCUAAUAAUAAUAAUAAUUAGGCUUUAGCAUAUUUGGUCGGUUGUUUGGGCUCAACGAUUUAUUAGUGCUAGUGGCUUGGAUCGCUACAUUUGAUAUCAAAGCCGGUUUGAUACUCAUAAUAUAUACUUUUUCUCACCUUUGCUGCUAUCAAAUAUCAGAGUCACCACACCUGAAGAUCUCGUCUACUCGCAACGGAAUACUCCUCAACGGUGCAAACCUCCAAAUCUCCCAACCAAUCUCUCUCUCAGCCAGCUAGAGCCACAGCUCAAUUAGAGGAAGGAGGAAAAAGAAGAAAAGGAGGAGCUCUGCAGGGACGUAAAAGAAUAAAAUCACAGGAUCCGUGGAAUAUAUAUAUAUAUAUAUAGAGGUGACAAUAGCAGAAAGGCCUUUGAAACUCGGAAAAAUAAACCCUCAGUAGAAGACUUCACUUUUGGCGCCCGGAACCAUCUUUUGGGCGUCCGAAGUCCCGUAUCCGAGGUAAUUUGAGCGCUUCCUCCUGCAAUGGGCUGCCCGAACCCUAUGUAGCUGCUUGCGCCCAUUUUCGGGCUCCCGAAUCUGCAUACGGAACUCAGUAAAUUAAGGCACCUGCUUACCGCCUUGGUCACAUCACUCUAGCAUCCUCCGGUCUGCUACAGUAACAUUCGGGCAUCCAGAAUAGGCAUGAACAGUGACUCCCUUAAUCCGGAUCCAACUACGAUGGAUCCGGGUGUUCGGAACUGCACUCUGGAUCCCCCAACUCCUCACCUCGGUACUUCCGGGCGCUCUAAUCCACUUCCGGACGUUAGGAAAUGGUUAGAAACCCAGUUUCAGCUGAUUUAAUUUCUAGCCUAUUUUUCGCGUCCAUUUCGCACAAAAAUAGCUCUAACUCAGUCCAGCACUAUCCGAAAGUGCUGUCCACAAACUCGAUCACACUGUAAUCUUGCCAAUUUGCAAAGAUCCAGUACUCUACACUUUUCCUUUAAAAGAUACACACUUAUAUCACUUUGCUGAGAGAUACAUCUUUUAUACAUGAAAAGAUACAACUUACUUAAACGUUACAUUUUCAACUAAAAGACCUGAGCCUUCACUAAAAGAGCACACCUACUUAAAUGCACCCGUACACUAGACACCCUCUCAAAAGAGCAAGUUUUGAUUUCAAACAGGCAUACUUUUCCAACAAAUACACUCAUGGAAUCCUUUCCCAUACCCAUUUGCCAUCUUUCUUGAAUGAAUGAAUAACUUUUGGUAUGUGUCGAAUCUUCAUCUGGUCUUCUCGGCUUUCAUCUCCACCUUCUCCUCCCCAAAGCCUUGCAACAAGCUCCUCUGGUGGUUCUCCAAAAUGUAACACCUGAAGGGUGGUGAGGUACUCGAUGCCUUGAGGCAGCACCUUCAGUUUUGGGCAACCUGAGAGACUAAGUUCUUGUAGUCUUGGCAUCGCUUCUUUUUCUAUUUCUAUCUGAUUGAGCUGCGGGGCAUCCCCUAUUGACAGUUCCUUUAGAGUUGGAAAUGAUGUUGUUUUGAAGCACAACUUCAUGCCGUCAUACGCUUGCCAAAGUUGAAGGAUCAACAAUCUAGGUAAUGCUUGAAUGUAUGGAAGCGGAUCCCCAACCAAUCGAGACCAACGAAGUCGAAAGACAGUCAGGUUUGUAAGGGACCCAAAGAACAUGGAACAUUGAGGUAAGGAAUAUAUUUUGUCUAACUGCCCCAACAACAUCACUCUUCGGAGAGAUUGUGGCAGACGAAGAGCUCCCAAAUG